Molecule: ribosomal RNA, 273 nt
Filed under: uncultured bacterium
Lineage: Bacteria
Description: partial 16S ribosomal RNA
Rfam family: Bacterial small subunit ribosomal RNA
Source: RNAcentral
GACAGAGGGUGCAAACGUUGUUCGGAAUCACUGGGCGUAAAGCGCGUGUAGGUGGCUUGGCAAGUCGGGCGUGAAAUCCCGGGGCUCAACCCCGGAAGUGCACUCGAUACUGCCUAGCUAGAGUCCUGGAGAGGAAGGUGGAAUACUUGGUGUAGAGGUGAAAUUCGUAGAUAUCAAGUAGAACACCGGUGGCGAAGGCGGCCUUCUGGACAGUGACUGACGCUGAGACGCGAAAGCGUGGGGAGCAAACAGGAUUAGAUACCCCCGUAGUCC